GAGCCCUCCCCGCCACUGAGCCCCUUCCACGUGGUGAGUGGCCAGCAGUGGCCUCAGUGUCAGUUUCAUCAGCCCUGUUUCGCCCAAUGUCAUUAUGAACCAGAGAAUCCCCAUGUGUAUAGUUUAAAGAGCGGCAGAGGAUAGGAUGGUUAGAUAGCAUCACUGAAUCAAUGCAAAGGAACUUGAGUAAACUCCAGGAGAUAGUGAAGGACAGGGGAGCCUGGCAUGCCACUGUCUGUGGUGUCUCAAAGAGUCAAGACACGACUGAGCACCUGAACAACAUCAAGAUAGUUUAAAGUAUGGUCCUAGCAAUCCAGAUGGUUCUG
RNAcentral lists this long non-coding RNA (326 nucleotides) under Androctonus crassicauda. Lineage: Eukaryota; Metazoa; Arthropoda; Arachnida; Scorpiones; Buthidae. The record is from RNAcentral.